Molecule: ribosomal RNA, 742 nt
Filed under: uncultured bacterium
Lineage: Bacteria
Description: bacterial SSU rRNA
Rfam family: Bacterial small subunit ribosomal RNA
Source: RNAcentral
AGAGUUUGAUCAUGGCUCAGAGCGAACGCUGGCGGCAGGCCUAACACAUGCAAGUCGAACGGACCCUUCGGGGUUAGUGGCGGACGGGUGAGUAACACGUGGGAACGUGCCUUUAGGUUCGGAAUAGCUCCUGGAAACGGGUGGUAAUGCCGAAUGUGCCCUUCGGGGGAAAGAUUUAUCGCCUUUAGAGCGGCCCGCGUCUGAUUAGCUUGUUGGUGAGGUAAUGGCUCACCAAGGCUACGAUCAGUAGCUGGUCUGGGAGGAUGACCAGCCACAUUGGGACUGAGACACGGCCCAAACUCCUACGGGAGGCAGCAGUGGGGAAUCUUGCGCAAUGGGCGAAAGCCUGACGCAGCCAUGCCGCGUGGAUGAUGAAGGUCUUAGGAUUGUAAAAUCCUUUCACCGGUGAAGAUAAUGACUGUAGCCGGAGAAGAAGCCCCGGCUAACUUCGUGCCAGCAGCCGCGGUAAUACGAAGGGGGCUAGCGUUGCUCGGAAUUACUGGGCGUAAAGGGAGCGUAGGCGGACAUUUAAGUCAGGGGUGAAAUCCCAGAGCUCAACUCUGGAACUGCCUUUGAUACUGGGUGUCUUGAGUGUGAUAGAGGUAUGUGGAACUCCGAGUGUAGAGGUGAAAUUCGUAGAUAUUCGGAAGAACACCAGUGGCGAAGGCGACAUACUGGAUCAUUACUGACGCUGAGGCUCGAAAGCGUGGGGAGCAAACAGGAUUAGAUACCCCGGUAGUCC